GACGAACGCUGGCGGCGUGCUUAACACAUGCAAGUCGAACGGUGAAGGGAUCAGCUUGCUGGUUCUGGAUGAGUGGCGAACGGGUGAGUAACACGUGAGUAACCUGCCCCCUUCUUCUGGAUAACCGCAUGAAAGUGUGGCUAAUACGGGAUAUUCUGCGCCUGCUGCAUGGUGGGUGUGGGAAAGAUAUUGUUUCGGUGGGGGAUGGGCUCGCGGCCUAUCAGCUUGUUGGUGGGGUGAUGGCCUACCAAGGCGGUGACGGGUAGCCGGCCUGAGAGGGUGGACGGUCACACUGGGACUGAGACACGGCCCAGACUCCUACGGGAGGCAGCAGUGGGGAAUAUUGCACAAUGGGCGCAAGCCUGAUGCAGCGACGCCGCGUGAGGGAGGGAGGCCUUCGGGUUGUGAACCUCUUUCGCCAGUGAAGCAGGCCUGUCCCUUGUGGGUGGGUUGACGGUAGCUGGAUAAGAAGCGCCGGCUAACUACGUG
Molecule: ribosomal RNA, 489 nt
Filed under: uncultured bacterium
Lineage: Bacteria
Description: partial 16S ribosomal RNA
Rfam family: Bacterial small subunit ribosomal RNA
Source: RNAcentral